GGGACAGUAGGUUGGUCGUGCCACCGGUACGUACAGGUCUCACUGAUUCCUCCUUCCUGAAGAACCGUAAUGCCAUUAAUUUGGUGUUGCGGGGAAACAGGACUGUUACUUUGAAAAAAUUAGAGUGUUUAAAGCAAGCUAACGCUUGAAUACAUUAGCAUGGAAUAAUGAAAUAGGACGAUCGAUCCUAUUUUGUUGGUUUCUAGGAUUGACGUA
RNAcentral lists this ribosomal RNA (216 nucleotides) under Glomeromycotina sp. Its description in RNAcentral is "partial small subunit ribosomal RNA". The stretch from base 40 to 216 matches the Rfam family "Eukaryotic small subunit ribosomal RNA", at positions 686 to 864 of the family's 1831-position model. Lineage: Eukaryota; Fungi; Glomeromycota. The record is from RNAcentral.